GUGCAGGUGAUCCUGGGGAGGCCGGAGAACGCGCCGGGGGUGCCAGGGUCCCGCACACUGGAGUGGCGGCGCCUCCCCGUGGUGUCCCCGCUCCUGGGUCCUUUUUGGGACUGGCUCUGGCACUCCCGGGCACUCAGUCCAGUAGAGAAGUCCAGCAGGAGGCUUCCAGGUCGGACUCCUCCGCGGGGUAAAGAGAGGGAAAGGGCCUCACAAACACACCCAGGAGCAUCUGGCGAUGGAGGAUGAGAAGACAAGAGAAUGACGGGGGCAGGGUCAGGGGUCUAAUCUCCUUGCGAGCCACCUGAUCUCCCCGGGCCUCUGUUUUCUCAUCUGUGAAAUGACGGGUUGGACGGCCUUGUCUCUGAGGCCUCAUCCAGUUCCACGUACAGGAAGAUAUAAAUGCAAAUGUGCAAAAAAAGGAAGAAGGAAAGAUGGACCAAGUUCACCUGUUUGAUGGAAAAGCAGAAGCUCAGAAAAUGGAGGCUAAGUAACUUGUUCAAGAUCACAGAGCAAGCAGAUGCCACAGCUGGAAUCUGAACCCAGCCUGCAAUGUGAACACGAUGGCUGGAGCUCCGGCAGCCAUUCUGGACCAGGAGGUAGCCUUGAAGAUGGAAGCCACAUGUUGGGAUGGUGAAUCCAAAAGAUGAGGAGCCUGUAUCCCCUGUGACACCAGAACUGCCAUACCAGCCCUGGGUUCCUCCAUCUAUACUGCCUUCAUAUGGUAAAGAAAUAUUCUUGGAUCUUGUUAGGUGUCUGUUGCAGCCAAACACAAUCCCAACUGAUAUUCACUGUAAAUGAUUCCAUGGCUCCCUGUAGUACUUCUACAAAGCAUCUAUCACAAUUGUAAUUAAUAAAAUAAUUAUGCAA
Molecule: long non-coding RNA, 867 nt
Organism: Homo sapiens (human)
Lineage: Eukaryota; Metazoa; Chordata; Mammalia; Primates; Hominidae
Gene: NCMAP-DT
Product: NCMAP divergent transcript
Source: Ensembl